Molecule: ribosomal RNA, 428 nt
Filed under: uncultured Bacillota bacterium
Lineage: Bacteria; Bacillati; Bacillota
Description: bacterial SSU rRNA
Rfam family: Bacterial small subunit ribosomal RNA
Source: RNAcentral
AACGCGAAGAACCUUACCAGGUCUUGACAUCCUCUGACAAUCCUAGAGAUAGGACGUUCCCCUUCGGGGGACAGAGUGACAGGUGGUGCAUGGUUGUCGUCAGCUCGUGUCGUGAGAUGUUGGGUUAAGUCCCGCAACGAGCGCAACCCUUGUCCUUAGUUGCCAGCAUUUAGUUGGGCACUCUAAGGAGACUGCCGGUGACAAACCGGAGGAAGGUGGGGAUGACGUCAAAUCAUCAUGCCCCUUAUGACCUGGGCUACACACGUGCUACAAUGGAUGGUACAAAGGGCUGCGAGACCGCGAGGUUUAGCCAAUCCCAUAAAACCAUUCUCAGUUCGGAUUGUAGGCUGCAACUCGCCUACAUGAAGCCGGAAUCGCUAGUAAUCGUGGAUCAGCAUGCCACGGUGAAUACGUUCCCGGGCCUUGUA